Long non-coding RNA from Solanum tuberosum (potato), 1655 nucleotides. RefSeq lists it as uncharacterized. Lineage: Eukaryota; Viridiplantae; Streptophyta; Magnoliopsida; Solanales; Solanaceae. The record is from RefSeq and is a predicted model, not a curated record. The transcript has 2 exons.
AUAUUGAAUGAUUAGUGUACGUCUCCUAUGACGUUUGUCUAUUUAAAAAAAAAACUGUAAAUCUAUAUUUAUUGAAAAGUAACUCUCUCAAUUGAGUGGGCUCCCUUUCCCUUUUGCUCGAAUUAGCCCAAUCUCCAAACUUGGCCCAAUACCAUCUUCAGUCACCACAUUUAAGCUUUGCAAAACCCUACUCCGUUGCCGCCACCGUCGCCGCCGCCGCCGUAGCCUUGCCCUGUAGGUCUUUUUUUUUUCUUUCUAUUCAUCGAUGAAGAAGAAGAUAUCCAAUGCAAAUACCAGAAGAUUAGCGAUGUUUCCAGAUGCCAACAAAAGAAAAAGAAGAAAUUCAAUGCAAAUACCACUCGGAUUAGCGAUAGCAAAAAGUUCAAUCAGAAGAAAUCACUUCAUACUUGCCAAGAGAAGAGCGUUGCAGAGAUGGAUAUUGUUGCUCAUUCUCAGGUGAUUCACUACUUGUGAUUCAGUUUAAUUGUUGUUUUUUAUUUAUCUUAUAUAUAUAUUUUUGGUCUAGGGAUUAAUUUUUUUUCAACAAGACUUGAUGAUGGAGAUCCUUAGUUACCCGUGCGAUAUCUUUUCCGAUUCAAAUGUGUUGCAAAAUCUUGGGAUAUAACAUCUGAUCCUUACUUUAAAUGAAGCAUCAACGCCAUCAUGCCAAUUCCACAAAAUUUCUACUUGACCAUUGCAACCUCAAUAGGAAAAAUAACUUCUAUUCUACUUCUUCUCUAUCCUCCCCUGAUGAUGUACAAAAACUUGAUGAUCUCCCUCCAAAGAGUCACAUACUCUUUGGUUCUUGUGAUGGCUUGGUUCUUAUCGGGGUUUCUAGUCGUUCUAAUUAUCAGCUUCUAUUGUGGAACCCCUCUACAAGAGAAUCAAUACUACUUUCCCCUCCGGAAUUUGGAAUAUUCAAUUCCAUUUUUGCAUUGGGAUGCGAUCAAACUACGAAUGACUACGUGGUACUUACAAUCCACGAUGACAUGAAACUAACCCCUGUAGACCCACACUGUGGAAUUCUUGCCCUAAAAAGUGCUUCUUGGAGAAAAGUUUGUAUCAAGACACCUAAGUUAUUUUGCCCUUGUAGGGAUAGCUUUGGCACAUGUAUGGUAUAUGUACAUGGAGCAUUUAAUUGGCUUCCUUGCUGUUUUCUUGUGGUUUCAUUAAGUAUUUUAUCAGACACUUACAGAGAUACCAUUUCCAGAUCAAAUGUGCUAUAAUCGGCGGCUCCCAACCUUGUCAUCAAAUAAUGUAGCGUUUCAGUAUUGGAAGGAAUGCUUUGUGUUUAAUCUUCCUCUUGGAGAAGGAUUCGUGGGGUGGAUACUACUUUUAUGUUGUGGACAAUGAAAGACUAUGGCGUCAACGAAUCUUGGAUUCAGUUAUUUAAAAUUAACUUUACCGGACUUGAUUCAGCCAAAUCGAUUUAUAGGUUUCCGGAUGGUGAUGUACUAUUUGACAUCUACACUUUAGACGAAGGAGGGUAGUUUAGGUCAUUCAGGACAUCCAAAGGACCAAUUCAAUUAUGGUUUGAUUGGUUUCAUUCAUUUUAUGAAUAUAGUAACACCUUUCGUGUAAUUACUUUCACGGAGAGUUUAAUCUCUCCAAAAUCACUUCUUUAAUAUUUGAUUGAAACAUUUUUACGUAACAAA